RNAcentral lists this ribosomal RNA (331 nucleotides) under uncultured eukaryote. Its description in RNAcentral is "partial 18S ribosomal RNA". It matches the Rfam family "Eukaryotic small subunit ribosomal RNA", at positions 1470 to 1796 of the family's 1831-position model. The record is from RNAcentral.
CCCUUAGAUGUUCUGGGCCGCACGCGCGCUACACUGUUCGACGCAGCGAGUCUUAACCUUGACCGAAAGGUUUGGGUAAUCUUCAGCAAAGUCGAACGUGAUGGGGAUCGAUCAUUGCAAUUAUUGAUCGUGAACGAGGAAUUGCUAGUAAGUGCAAGUCAUCAGCUUGCGCUGAUUACGUCCCUGCCCUUUGUACACACCGCCCGUCGCUACUACCGAUUGAAUGGUUUAGUGAGAUCUCUGGAUUGACGCUGGCUAGGGGGCGACCCUUGGCCAGACUGUUGAGAAACUGCUCAAACUUGAUCAUUUAGAGGAAGUAAAAGUCGUAACA